RNAcentral lists this ribosomal RNA (951 nucleotides) under uncultured Sebacina. RNAcentral describes it as "eukaryotic LSU rRNA". The stretch from base 587 to 951 matches the Rfam family "Eukaryotic large subunit ribosomal RNA", at positions 1 to 361 of the family's 3401-position model. Lineage: Eukaryota; Fungi; Basidiomycota; Agaricomycetes; Sebacinales; Sebacinaceae. The record is from RNAcentral.
AGAGGAAGUAAAAGUCGUAACAAGGUUUCCGUAGGUGAACUGCGGAAGGAUCAUUAAUGAUUACGAAUGGUUACCUUCGGUGCUGGCUCUUGCAAGUGCACGUUGGUGGCUUUCAUCCAAUACCCUUUGUGAACCUUUGGCCUCUUGCUAGCUUCGGCUGGCAGAGGAUUUUUACACACUCGAAUGUAAUGAAAACUAUUGUCGUGCGCAAGCACUAAUGUACAACUUUCAACAACGGAUCUCUUGGCUCUCGCAUCGAUGAAGAACGCAGCGAAAUGCGAUAAGUAAUGUGAAUUGCAGAAUUCAGUGAAUCAUCGAAUCUUUGAACGCACCUUGCACCCUUUGGCAUUCCGAAGGGUAUGCUCGUUUGAGUGUCAUUGUACUCUCACACUCUCUGAUCCUUUGGAUUCGGGGAGCGGUGGACUUGGGUGUUGCUGCUUUCCUAGUGGCUCACCUCAAAUGUGUCAGUGCACCUCCUGGUUGGACAUAGUACGGCGUGAUAAGUGUCUUCGCCGGCGCCUCGCAAGAGGGUGGCCGAUCGGGAGCUCUGUGCUUUCAAACCGUCUUCGGACAAUCUCUGACAACUUGACCUCAAAUCGAGUAGGACUACCCGCUGAACUUAAGCAUAUCAAUAAGCGGAGGAAAAGAAACUAACAAGGAUUCCCCUAGUAACGGCGAGUGAAGAGGGAAGAGCUCAAAUUUUGAAUCUGGCGUCUUUGGCGUCCGAAUUGUAAUCUAGAGAAGUGUUUUCCGUGACGGACCGUGCACAAGUCUCCUGGAAUGGAGCGUCAUAGAGGGUGAGAAUCCCGUAUAUGGCACGGACUACCGUUGCUCUGUGAUACACUCUCGACGAGUCGAGUUGUUUGGGAAUGCAGCUCUAAAUGGGUGGUAAAUGCCAUCUAAAGCUAAAUAUUGGCGAGAGACCGAUAGCGAACAAGUACCGUGAGGUAA